Molecule: ribosomal RNA, 253 nt
Filed under: uncultured bacterium
Lineage: Bacteria
Description: partial 16S ribosomal RNA
Rfam family: Bacterial small subunit ribosomal RNA
Source: RNAcentral
UACGGGGGGGGCGAGCGUUGUUCGGAAUUACUGGGCGUAAAGGGUUCGUAGGUGGCUUGCUAAGUCAGACGUGAAAUCCCUCGGCUCAACCGGGGAAUUGCGUCUGAGACUGGCGAGCUUGAGUGCAGGAGAGGAACGCGGAAUUCCAGGUGUAGCGGUGAAAUGCGUAGAUAUCUGGAGGAACACCGGUGGCGAAGGCGGCGUUCUGGACUGCAACUGACACUGAAGAACGAAAGCCAGGGUAGCAAACGGG